GACGAACGCUGGCGGCGUGCUUAACACAUGCAGGUCGAGCGGUAAGGCCCUUUCGGGGGUACACGAGCGGCGAACGGGUGAGUAACACGUGGGUGACCUGCCCUCAGCUCUGGGAUAAGCCUGGGAAACCGGGUCUAAUACUGGAUAUGACUCCAUGACGCAUGUUGUGGGGUGGAAAGCCUUGUGCGGCUGAGGAUGGGCCCGCGGCCUAUCAGCUUGUUGGUGGGGNGAUGGCCUACCAAGGCGACGACGGGUAGCCGGCCUGAGAGGGCGACCGGCCACACUGGGACUGAGACACGGCCCAGACUCCUACGGGAGGCAGCAGUGGGGAAUCUUGCGCAAUGGGCGAAAGCCUGACGCAGCGACGCCGCGUGAGGGAUGACGGCCUGGUGUAAC
This 396-nucleotide ribosomal RNA is filed under the name uncultured bacterium. RNAcentral describes it as "bacterial SSU rRNA". It matches the Rfam family "Bacterial small subunit ribosomal RNA", at positions 28 to 429 of the family's 1533-position model. The record is from RNAcentral.